AUGCUGGGCGCCCCCUCUGCAGACAGCCAGUCCAGGAGAUGGACAAAGGUCAAGGGGCAGCCGACCAGACUGCACUGGGGUCCCCCAGUUCUGAGCUGUGCUAUGCAAAGAAGAAUGCCCCUGAGUGUCUGCGACAUGGUGUCAGAAGGACGGCUACUGAGGCUGGUGGAGGGACUGGGCAUCGCUGUUGUUUGGGGAAGUCCAUCCUCCAGUCCUGAGGGUGUGAGUGGAUUGGUCUAAGUGUGAAUAUAACCAGCAGCCAGGGCAGCAUGAACUCCUUUUGCUGAAAUUUCCAGGCCUCCUUGGGUUCCCUGAACCCUGGGCUGGCGUUCCCAGGACCCAGCACCAGAAGACCCUAGUCCCACCAGCCCCGCCGCACUACCCAGGAGGGCUGGGCAACGCCGGUGCUGGCUCCCCUCCUCCCCCGCAGCCUCAAAUCACUGCCAAGCCCCCGUUCCUUUUGCCCAAAUCACGCAGGCUGAAGCUGCAGUGCCAGCUGGAGAGACAUUUGUGGGGCUUCCCAUGCCAUCCCUGUUUCCAGACAGCUGGACAGCUUCCCCUUUACCCCAUGCCAGUGAGCCCCUGCGGGCCAGAGAAAGAUGGGGUUCCUGCACCUUCCCAGCUCCACCUCUGACUUGAGUUAGCAUUAGCUAAGCAUACAAUCAGUGUUGAACCUCUCUCUUCCUUAGCUUGUAGAUACGACUGUCUGUAAUCAGGGGACCCGCUGGAGGCCGGGCGGCCGAUGCUGGCAGAGCACCCGGGCGUGGUUUGGUUCCUUUAGGCAAUUUUUGUUCUGCCAAUGGGGGAACCUAUGUUGCCAGGUGUAGAGGCAGGAGCGCCUGGCCUUGGUCGGCGGGCAGCCCCCAGCCAGGGCCACAGUGCUCUUCAGGGCCUGGGCAGCCCCAGCUUCUGGCCCAGGAGGUGUCUCUUUCUAGUCUUUCGGCACAUCCAAAAUGGAGGCCUCCACCUGUGGGAACAGCAUGAGCUCCACUGGGGCUCUGCCCCUCCUCAGCCUCUGGCCCUGCCCCGUGGUUAAGACCAUGCCUUUUCUGAACAGCUUUGGCCUUGAGUCAGAGCGACAGCCAACAAUGGUCCAGUGCUCAGAUGCCUCAGUUUCCCUUGCAUGAGCACCCGCCGACACAUGGUCCACUGAGAUUAUGGUUCUGUUCUCUCCAAAGCAAAAAGCCGGGUGAGGGGAAGUCUCAAUUUCUGCCAGUGCUCAAAGGAGUAACACCAAAAGAAUCAACACACAAUCUCCUGGACGCAGAGCAGUACGUGACCCAGCUCCAGGCACCGUGGGUCCGUGGGAGGAACAGCACCGCGCCGCAGGCCCAGCGGGGACCAGCUCUCUGUACAAUUGGAACGUGUUUUCCUUUUCUUUUCUCUCCUUUCUUCAUUCUCCUUUUUUUUUUUUUUUGCAUGUUUCUUUUUGAAAAUGGAGAAAAUGUGUAGCAGCCCGCAUGACCACGGUUGUUUUGGGGAAAGAUACUGGGGUAUGACGUACUCACACUUGCAGCUCUGAGCAUCGAGAGGUCAAACCUUCCACCUUUUUUUGUAAUCGUCAACAGCACAACUAUUUUGUAUUGUUGUUUGUAUCAUUUUGUACCAAAAAAAAAAAAAAGGAAAAAAAAAGGGGAGAGAAUUGAUGUUUCUGUUUCUAGUGCCAGACAGUCUUGGUCCUAACUGAUUAGAGCCUUGCGGAGCGGCUGUGCACGGGUGGGCGGGGGCGCUGCUCCAGAGACUAAAUAAAGUCCCCCUUUU
Molecule: non-coding RNA, 1761 nt
Organism: Callithrix jacchus (white-tufted-ear marmoset)
Lineage: Eukaryota; Metazoa; Chordata; Mammalia; Primates; Cebidae
Source: RefSeq, a predicted model, not a curated record